GAACUCCAUUCCGUAAGCCUGUCCAUCCUCCUUGCAAAGGAAACAUUGAUGUGGUACUUCAAACCCUGAACUGUCAAACUUUCCCUUCAUUAUUCCACAGGCAAAUGAACUGAAGAAGGUGACUGGCUCUUUUCAUUCUGCCCUGAAUCAUCACUGUCAUAAGCAGCCACAAUCUUUUGCUCUGUGAAUAUUUGCUUAAGAGGCUGUGGUCUUGUUCUAAGUCAUUUAAGAAAUGAACAAAGGAACAACUUAUAUGGGAGAUUAAUGAGUGUAAGGGACUUUGGUAAUAUGGUGACACACCCCCAGUUAUCUGGCCACUGCAGGCACCUCAGCUGUGAAGAUGGAAGAGAAGAAGUAAUCCCUACGAACGGCAGCUGAAAAUUUCUUCAGGAAACUUCCCAAUAACAGGGCCAUGAAUAUGAAGGUAAUUAAGGAUGGCCUCUACAUCCA
RNAcentral lists this long non-coding RNA (450 nucleotides) under Zonotrichia albicollis (white-throated sparrow). RNAcentral describes it as "lncRNA (ENSZALG00000016440.1)". The record is from RNAcentral. Lineage: Eukaryota; Metazoa; Chordata; Aves; Passeriformes; Passerellidae.